UGUAGGAUCUUUAGUUGUUGGAAGUGAAGCAAAACAACCAGAUGUGCAUGUCAAGAAGGAGUAGGUAGUUGGGUUACACUCACCCCCACAAGGUCGACCUAAAUGCACAACAAAACCACCUCCUUGUGGGACAGGUGGUCACAAAGUAGGACACAAGGCUGGCCCCACGCAACGCAAGGAGCUUGACCAAGGAGAUGCAAUACCCCCUCCCCCACAUACCAGACACUAUACAAGACAGCACAAGCGUAAAAUGUAUUAGGGCAGAGUUGAUUGAUCCAGCAGUGAAGGGAACAAAUCAUGGUAUUUGUGCUUUGUGCAUUAAGCUGGCACCAACAUAACCAUAUUAUUGCAUUUAUAUCUGGGCCAAGUCAAAUCAUGGUUCGUGACUAUGAAGAUUCAGGUCUGUAACUUAUGCAUGCUAUCAAUAAUUAUUGAUAUAUUCCAAUUAAAAUUAUCCCAUUUUAACUUUUUAAGUAGAAUUCUUUUACUUAAAGUAUUUUUUAUAAUGCUAAUAUUAUGGAAUGUUUUUGAAAUUUUCAGAAAUUGAUAAAAAUUAUUAAUUAGGAAGAUUAUUAAUUUUUUUUUGAGAGGAUUAGGAAGAUUAUUAAAACCUUAGUGCACAAAGUUCGAUGAUUACUAUGAUAAGAUCUUGAGCUAUUUCAUCAUGCUGGCUGGCAUCUUUUAUUGGUAGAAAACCCAAUUUUGGCAGUGAUCUUUGGUGAACUUGCGAAUUUUGUUGGUUACAUGUUUGCUCCUGCUGUGCUUGUCACGCCACUGGGAGCUCUGAGCAUAAUUGUUACGUACACCAGAUGCCUUCGGUUUCAAUUCUAGUGAUGCUGCGCUUGGUUGCAAUAGGAUUAGGACCAGAUUUUAUUUGAAAUUCCAAAUCUUUGGAAGUCAGAUUCCUGGAUUAACCAUGGAGUAGUUGCUGUUAUUUGAAUCCAAUGUCAGUCCAGUUUGUAUUGAUGUGAUAACCAAACAUUUUUUGGAAUUAGAUUUCGGCUUCCGUCUCUAUUCCAUGGUCUCAUUUUCUUGCAACCAAAUGCAUCGUUUUGUUUCAGUUGAAGAACUUUGUGAUUUUGACUUUGUGUCUGUUUUUUGGAAGUUCUGUUCUAGCACGCUUCUUUUUGAAGGAAAAGCUGCAGAAAAUGGGUAUACUGGGUGGAUUUGAACUCUUUACGUCCCAUAUAAUAUACAUGCAUAGUCAAAUUCUAGCCCCCCACUGACAGCAAUCUCAUUCAAAGAAAAUUGAAGUUACCAAACUCAUUGCCCUUAUAUUUCAACGAGAAAGAGCGUGGCUGAAGCAAAAUCAAAACCUCAAAUGCUUGCUGCUUCAAAUGGCUUAUGGGCACCACAAACUCAAUUCUCUCCUCUAAUUUCUGCACAUUCGUCUCAAGAGCAAGGAGCUUCAGAUGUCUCUUCUGUUCUAUUUUAUCGGAUGGUUUGAAUGGACAGAUUCUUGAUCUUCUGAAAUUUUAAGAAAUACACUUCCUGUGAGUGUGAGAUAUCUUGGAGGAACGUAAAACUUUUUUUGGUUGAGUUUGGAGAUUAUGAUAAGGCUUUGUGGGCUGCUUCAAAAAUCAGGAACCUAUUCAUGUGCUGAGACUUGGGAACCAGUUAAGAUUCAAUGCUCCAGUUCUUGUAGAUAAGUUUUGAGUACAGCAGGAGUUCUAAGUUUUGAGUGCUUGUAAGGGCUUUUUUUUUUUUUGCCUGCUCUAUCUUAAGAGCAUUAAAAAAAUAGUGUAGAUGUACAGGCAUUUAUGGCAAUAUUAUCAUGUUAUUUGUAA
Quercus robur (English oak) is the source of this 1787-nucleotide long non-coding RNA. RefSeq lists it as uncharacterized. The record is from RefSeq and is a predicted model, not a curated record. NCBI's taxonomy places the organism in Eukaryota, Viridiplantae, Streptophyta, Magnoliopsida, Fagales, Fagaceae. The transcript is spliced from 4 exons.